Molecule: long non-coding RNA, 1694 nt
Filed under: Macaca fascicularis (crab-eating macaque)
Lineage: Eukaryota; Metazoa; Chordata; Mammalia; Primates; Cercopithecidae
Description: lncRNA (ENSMFAG00000047430.1)
Source: RNAcentral
UUUUUUUUGAGACAGGUUCUCACUCUGUCACCCAGGCUGAAGUGCAGUGGUGUGAUCUUGGCUCACUGCAGCCUCAACCUUCUGUGCUCAAGUGGUUCUCCCACUUCAGCCUCCUGAGUAGCUGGGACAACAGGUGUAUGCCACCAUGGCUUGCUAAUUUUUUAUUGUUUUUUGUAGAGAUGGGGUUUUCGCCAUGUUGCUCAGGUUGGUCUCGAACUCCUGUACUCAAGCAAGCAGCCCACCUCGGCCUCCCAAAAUGUUGGGAUUAUAGGUGUGAGUCACCAUGCCCAGCUGCAGUGAAAGCUUUUCUAUUCUCAAGAACCCAGUGUUAUAGUAUUGGCUUACAGCACAUUGGGCAGGGAGCUCCUUUUGCUUGGUAACACUAGAAAAUUCAGGUACCUCAACAGGAUAUAAUCCUACUACCUAGAUCAUUGUUAACUAACAUCUCAGUGUAUUCAUAUCCAGGUGGCUUUUGCUAGACAUACACAUUAAUAUAAUGUAGUUUUGUAACAUUCUAUAACGUGCUUCUAUAGUACUCUCUAGGCAGCUCUGUAGAUUGAUACCUCUUUUGCAUUUGUGAUGACACAGUAGUCUAGGAAUGGAAGUAGGAGGAUUUAACCAGUCCCACGUUGAUAGAUAUUUGUGUUCUUCAGUUUUCUCUGCUAGGUGACACCUCACUCCCCAGCCUCCUUUUAUUUAUGUAUUUAUUUUUUGAGAUGGAGUCUCGCUCUGUUGCCCAGGCUGGAGUGCAAUGGUGUAAUCUCGGCUCACUGCAACCUCCACCUGCUGGGUCCAAGUGAUUGUCCUGGCUCAGCCUCCUGAAUAGGUGGGAUUACAGGCAUGCACCACCAAGCCUGGCUAAUUUUUGUAUUUUUAGUACAGGCGUGGCAUCAUGUUGGCCAGGCUGGUCUCGAACUCCCAACCUCAAAUGAUCCACCCACCUUGGCCUCUCAAAGUGCUGGGAUUACAGGCAUGAGCCACUGUGCCCAGCCCAACCUGCUUUUAGCAGCUGAACACAGCCCUGCCUUGGGAAGUUAAUGGCCUUGGAAGAAUUUUCCUCCUUCCAAGCAGGGAAGGGAGGAGAGAUAGGGCUAACAGCUUACUCUCUUCAGAGUUUCCUGGGGAAGGGGACACCUAUACAGUGGCACGGCCCUGCCGAAGGUCAAGAUGCUGUAGUGUUAUGGUUUAAAGGUAGGUGCGAGGUCUGGGGUCCUCGGCACUAAAAGAACUAAUCUCUCCUUCCCCUACUGCUGUCCAGGUUCAUGGAUAGUCAUGCUUGGUCUUGUCUUACUGUUCUUUCUGGUGUCAGCCACAGCCUUGCUUCCCCAGGCACUCCUGGCCUUUGUUUUCCUCCCUCGAUGAAUACCUCUGGACUCACCCUAGCUGUCCUGUACAACCUGCCCUGCACCUCUGGGCAGUCCUGGGGUCUCCUGGACCUCUCCUUCCCAGCCUCCUGCAAGAUGCUGAAGGACUUGCUGCUGGCUGCACUGGCCUUCACUAGUGUCACUCUGUUGCUGCUCCUGUGACCCUGAGGAAGGCACUCGAGGUCUUCCAGCCAUCCUGCCCUCUCUGCAGCUUAAGAGGUACUCUUUUGGUGGCCUCCUGCCAGCCUGGAGGCCCACAGAUGGGACUGGUGACUUGGACAACAGAGAGACUCUCUUCUGAGGAGGAAAUUGAUAUGGAAUCUCAGCCUA